RNAcentral lists this long non-coding RNA (981 nucleotides) under Homo sapiens (human). Its description in RNAcentral is "non-protein coding SNHG5:13". Lineage: Eukaryota; Metazoa; Chordata; Mammalia; Primates; Hominidae. The record is from RNAcentral.
GGGUGGUAGGUGAGUGGGUAUUGCGGGCUAGUAUCCGAGCAAAAGAUGGUGGCGCAGGCCGAGUUAAGAGCUUUAAUCCUGUGAAGACAUCUUAGUGAAGAGUUUAGAGUGCUGAGAGUUGAAAGCUUGCACGUGGGAAACGUGCGGCCGGACUGCCACAUGUACUGAGGUUGAGUCGUGACGGCCACAGGCUCCGAGUUUUGGCGUGAGGAACCGCUGAUCGGCCACGGGCGCCGAACUUGCUGGCCUCCGGCAUGUGCCUGAGCGGCGGCGGAAAAACCACCUUAAUUGGGGCGGAGGGUUAGUUUUAACAGCAAAGGGCCUUUACUAAAAUGGCGAAGGCCUUCCGUCGGCGUUGUUUUAAAAUGGGAAGCCUCGACCCUGUAUUGAAACUGAGCUGUUCGAAGGCGGCGUUGUGUGCAAUUCGGAUUAAUGAAGGGGAAGGGUUUUGUGUGGAAAAACGCCUUGGAGUGUGACAUUUCUGCGAGAAUGCUUAAAUACCGAUUUCCCGCAGGAACAAUGGCGCUGUCUUCAGUGGCACAGUGGAGCAGCUCUGAAGAUGCAAAGAUACACGAAAAAACUUCCAGAACAUCUGGGAGAAUAUUUAAUGGAAAAUCGCUUGGUUAAAACCUGACACUUUUAACAGUGAACAGCGUUCUGAGUGUGGACGAGUAGCCAGUGAAGAUAAUGAAUGUCGAAUGUGACUGACUAGCAGCUUCAUUUUGAAUGAGGGUCGCUGUCUGCCCAUUGAUAGAGGCCAGAUUGUCUUGGAAGUUCCAAAGUUGCAACGAUUUCUGGCUAGUGCCACGAGGUUUACUUGACUGUUGUGUGAAAAGCUGAUAAGAAAACCAUCCAGAAAAAAGCUCUUCGUUUUACAAACAUGAAAAUAAAACAUGUAAUUUUGGAUUAUGUUCCUUUUUGUUAUUACUUUUAAAUAGGUCCUGAAAUAACAUGGGGAGCAUUAAAUGGAAAAUCCACUAA